RNAcentral lists this unclassified non-coding RNA (332 nucleotides) under soil metagenome. RNAcentral describes it as "partial contains 5.8S ribosomal RNA, internal transcribed spacer 2, and large subunit ribosomal RNA". The stretch from base 1 to 120 matches the Rfam family "5.8S ribosomal RNA", at positions 35 to 154 of the family's 154-position model. The record is from RNAcentral.
GAUGAAGAACGCAGCGAAAUGCGAUACGUAGUGUGAAUUGCAGAAUUCAGUGAAUCAUCGAAUCUUUGAACGCACAUUGCGCCCUUUGGUAUUCCUUAGGGCAUGCCUGUUCGAGCGUCAUUUAAACCCUCAAGCUAAGCUUGGUGUUGGGUGACUGUCCGCUUCACGGCGGACUCGCCUCAAAAUUAUUGGCGGCCGGUACAUUGGCUUCGAGCGCAGCAGAAACGCGAACUCGGGCCCGUCGUAUUGGCUCCCAGAAGCUAUCUUCACAAUUUUGACCUCGGAUCAGGUAGGGAUACCCGCUGAACUUAAGCAUAUCAAUAAGCGGAGGA